This is a non-coding RNA of Zootermopsis nevadensis, 348 nucleotides long. The record is from RefSeq and is a predicted model, not a curated record. NCBI's taxonomy places the organism in Eukaryota, Metazoa, Arthropoda, Insecta, Blattodea, Termopsidae.
GCUGUUCGCUUAUAGGAUGGCUGGAGCAUCCAUCAUCAUCCUUUGGGCAUCUGUUGCAUCCUGUAUUAUGUUUGGAAUUCUAAAAUGUGCAGGCAAGCUGAGGGUCAGCGCUAAAGAUGAACAACAAGGUUUGGAUAUUUCUCUCCACAAUGAGCCUGGAUAUCCUGUGAAGGGAUGGCAGACAAUGGUUGUAUCAGUCAGAGGGAAUGCCAUGUAAAUUCAUCAGUGUUGUUAUUUAUAAUUUCAGCGAUAAGGUUACAAGCAAAUAACACAAUUUUCCAACAGCUUCUAAUGUACAUUAAUUCACUGCAAAAUGGAAUAAAACAGAAAAAUGCAUAUCAUCAUUUA